This 264-nucleotide ribosomal RNA is filed under the name uncultured bacterium. RNAcentral's name for it is "partial 16S ribosomal RNA". It matches the Rfam family "Bacterial small subunit ribosomal RNA", at positions 524 to 786 of the family's 1533-position model. The record is from RNAcentral.
UACGAAGGGGGCUAGCGUUGCUCGGAAUCACUGGGCGUAAAGCGCACGUAGGCGGGUCCUUAAGUCAGGGGUGAAAUCCCGGAGCUCAACUCCGGAACUGCCUUUGAUACUGGGGAUCUUGAGUCCGGAAGAGGUGAGUGGAACUCCGAGUGUAGAGGUGAAAUUCGUAGAUAAUUCGGAAGAACACCAGUGGCGAAGGCGGCUCACUGGUCCGGUACUGACGCUGAGGUGCGAAAGCGUGGGGAGCAAACAGGAUUAGAUACC